CUACGGGCGGCAGCAGUGGGGAAUAUUGGACAAUGGGGGGAACCCUGAUCCAGCCAUGCCGCGUGUGUGAAGAAGGCCUUUUGGUUGUAAAGCACUUUAAGCAGUGAAGAAGACUCUUCGGUUAAUACCCGGGGACGAUGACAUUAGCCGCAGAAUAAGCACCGGCUAACUCUGUGCCAGCAGCCGCGGUAAUACAGAGGGUGCAAGCGUUAAUCGGAAUUACUGGGCGUAAAGCGAGCGUAGGUGGCUUGAUAAGUCAGAUGUGAAAUCCCCGGGCUUAACCUGGGAACUGCAUCUGAAACUGUUAGGCUAGAGUAGGUGAGAGGGAAGUAGAAUUUCAGGUGUAGCGGUGAAAUGCGUAGAGAUCUGAAGGAAUACCGAUGGCGAAGGCAGCUUCCUGGCAUCAUACUGACACUGAGGCUCGAAAGCGUGGGUAGCAAACAGGAUUAGAUACCCGUGUAGUC
This 464-nucleotide ribosomal RNA is filed under the name uncultured bacterium. Its description in RNAcentral is "partial 16S ribosomal RNA". It matches the Rfam family "Bacterial small subunit ribosomal RNA", at positions 339 to 795 of the family's 1533-position model. The record is from RNAcentral.